UUUGCAUCCUCUGUCUCACCUUAUAUUUCUCUGAAAUUGAGGUCUCAGAAAGGUUCCCCUCCUAGUACUUCACAAGACACACAAGUACCAGUCCCCAAGGACACAACAGGAACAACAGAUAUUAGAUUGACCAUUCAUCUGGCCGGCUGCUACAAGCCUUCUGAGGAGCCUUAGAAAAUGCUCUUCCCACCGCUAACCAGGGAGCCAGUGAGGGAGGCCGUUAUUCAGAAGUCUUGUUGUCGUGGGUGUGGGGGGGAGGACCCUGUAGUCAGGCUGGAGGCAGAAACUGAGGAAGUUCAGUUCCUAGCAUCAGAGAGAGGAGAGUGAAGAAGGAUGAAUGUGGGAAGAAGGAAGGCAGUGAAAAGCUAUAACAAAUGCCAUUCUAUAUCCUGCCUGUGAUGUAUGGCUACAAAUACCACGGACCCAAUCCCUCUCCCCACAGCACCUUGCCAUGCGUUUCUAGUUGAAGUUCUAUGGAGACAGUGCUUGAACAAAGGCUAAGCAGUCAGGAACCAACAAGUGGGCUUCUUUACAACACCUUUAUGCCCUCUGCAUCAGCUCCUGCCUCCAGGAUUCUGCACUUUGACUUCCUGCCCUGACUUCCCUCAGUGACCCACUCUGAUGUGGAAUUGUAAGGAGCUUUUGGUUAUGGCGUAGCAAACCUAGGACAGGUGAUAGAAACAAGCUCUCAUUGGACCUGUGGACUGGACUGCCUUGGGUGACCAUCAGUGGACCUGUGGACUGGACUGCCUUGGUGACCAUCACCGGACCUGUGGUCUGGACUGCCUUGGGUGACCAUCAGUGGACCUGUGGACUGGACUGCCUUGGGUGACCAUCAGUGGACCUGUGGACUGGACUGCCUUGGUGACCAUCAGUGGACCUGUGGACUGGACUGCCUUGGGUGGCCACUACGCCUCUGGGUUAUCCCGUCUCUGGUUCCCAGGACGGGGCUUCAGGCACAGGCUACCACCUCCAGCUUUUACAUGGUUGCUGGGGAUCUGGGCAACAUCCUCACUUUCACAUCAGUUUACCCUUUGACCUAUGCCCUCCAACCCAGAUUGCUCAAGUCUAACUCUGUGUUUCAUAAACUCCAGUGUCCCGAGGGAUUGUAAGACUCUUUAGUAGACGAUUUUAGAAAUCCCACAUAGAUCUGAGCUUCAGAAUGAGGGUUUUUUUUGUUGUUGUUGUUUGUUUGUUUGUUUGUUACUGGGUUACUGGUAUUGUUUCUUUUUCCAUAGCAAACAGGCAUAUUUUUAAUUGCCAAUUGUCGCCAAGAAGGUGGAUAAAUGCUCCAGACUGCCGGUGCUUAUGCGUGCCGCUGAAAUUCACUGAGACAGGAGUGGUCGUGACCUGUCUCCCAUGUAGCCGGGACCAGUCUGCUCAGUAUGAAGCUGUCACUGUUUUCACACUGUUGUGGGCCAGGGCUGUAUGAGUCCACAUAUCACCUGACCCUUGGCUUUAGAAGGUCAGAAAAUCACAAUCCUUGGUUUUUCAAAGAGGCUGACUCACUCAGGUAAACUGAGGCUUCCCCCACUGCUACCACUGAGCCAAAAUUAGAGUGGGAGUCCAAGUGAGCUGGACAGAGGAGAUCCCAUUAAGCUGUGUUCCCACAGCCACAGAUGCUCCCGGAACAGGGUGACCUCACUCUUGGGCAACUGAGGAAAGCCUCAGGCACGAUCCUGCAACUGCUGGCCUGGGGAAGAGUGCACACCCGCGUGCCCAAAGCAGCAGUUCGCUGCGAGUGCCGGAGUGGAUUCUGGACACGAACCCACGCUUUCUGCGAGUCUUUGGACAGGACAGGCACUUAUACAAACGUAAAAGAAGGGCCCAUGUGAGGGUAGAAUGAGUUCUCUCAUCUUGUAGCCAACCCAGCUUAUCAA
This is a long non-coding RNA of Myodes glareolus (Bank vole), 1880 nucleotides long. RefSeq lists it as uncharacterized. NCBI's taxonomy places the organism in Eukaryota, Metazoa, Chordata, Mammalia, Rodentia, Cricetidae. The record is from RefSeq and is a predicted model, not a curated record.